This 429-nucleotide ribosomal RNA is filed under the name Bacteroidota bacterium. RNAcentral describes it as "Bacteroidetes bacterium partial 16S ribosomal RNA". It matches the Rfam family "Bacterial small subunit ribosomal RNA", at positions 355 to 776 of the family's 1533-position model. The record is from RNAcentral. Lineage: Bacteria; Pseudomonadati; Bacteroidota.
UAGGGAAUCUUCCGCAAUGGGCGAAAGCCUGACGGAGCAACGCCGCGUGAGUGAUGAAGGUCUUCGGAUUGUAAAACUCUGUUAUUAGGGAAGAACAAAUGUGUAAGUAACUAUGCACGUCUUGACGGUACCUAAUCAGAAAGCCACGGCUAACUACGUGCCAGCAGCCGCGGUAAUACGUAGGUGGCAAGCGUUAUCCGGAAUUAUUGGGCGUAAAGCGCGCGUAGGCGGUUUUUUAAGUCUGAUGUGAAAGCCCACGGCUCAACCGUGGAGGGUCAUUGGAAACUGGAAAACUUGAGUGCAGAAGAGGAAAGUGGAAUUCCAUGUGUAGCGGUGAAAUGCGCAGAGAUAUGGAGGAACACAAGUGGCGAAGGCGACUUUCUGGUCUGUAACUGACGCUGAUGUGCGAAAGCGUGGGAAUCAAACAGG